RNAcentral lists this ribosomal RNA (497 nucleotides) under uncultured bacterium. Its description in RNAcentral is "partial 16S ribosomal RNA". It matches the Rfam family "Bacterial small subunit ribosomal RNA", at positions 28 to 507 of the family's 1533-position model. The record is from RNAcentral.
GACGAACGCUGGCGGCGUGCCUAAUACAUGCAAGUAGAACGCUGAAGCUUGGUGCUUGCACCGAGCGGAUGAGUUGCGAACGGGUGAGUAACGCGUAGGUAACCUGCCUGGUAGCGGGGGAUAACUAUUGGAAACGAUAGCUAAUACCGCAUAAGAGUAGAUGUUGCAUGACAUUUGCUUAAAAGGUGCAAUUGCAUCACUACCAGAUGGACCUGCGUUGUAUUAGCUAGUUGGUGAGGUAACGGCUCACCAAGGCAACGAUACAUAGCCGACCUGAGAGGGUGAUCCGCCACACUGGGACUGAGACACGGCCCAGACUCCUACAGGAGGCAGCAGUAGGGAAUCUUUGGAAAUGGACGGAAGUCUGACCGAGUAACGCCGCGAGAGGGAAGAAGGGUUUCGGAUCGUAAAGCUCUGUUGUAAGGGAAGAAAGAGUGUGAGAGUGGAAAGUUCACACUGUGACGGUAUCUUACCAGAAAGGGACGGCUAACUACGUG